GCGAACCGCACGAACCGGGAACAACAGUCUAAUCAUCAUCGUUGAUCGUUAAACAACGUGAAACGCGUAUAGAAAAUCUGAAAAAUCAGAUGAGAGAUAUCGUCUAUUAAACGUACAAAUCGAUGUCAAAAAUCAUCUGCGAGAAAAUUCGUAUUUCAUGCAUUCAUUUGAGCUAAAAAUAAAAAUAGAAAGCAGUAUACUAAAUACAGAAUAUUUAAUAUACGAUCCAUCCACCGAGAUCAGUCAACCAAAUCUGAAUUGAAAUAAGCGAAAAUCUGAAGUACAGUAAAAAUUCCACAAACAUAAAAAAAAAAUAAUCCUGUAAACUGUGACUUGUGUACUGUAAUUUCGUCUCGCAUACAGAGAGAUAAUAUACAAUAAUACUAAUAAAAAGUUUAAACUGUAGAAGCAGCUGUUAAAUAUUAAAAAAAAAAAAUAUCCAAAAAUACAAAAGAAACAGUGUUCGAAGUGAACAAAAGUUAAUAGUGUUAAUUAAAUUUGCAAUUGCGAUCGCAUCAACAAAACCAGAGUACAGUUUUAGUUGAAGCAAACGAGAGUUAAAAGAAACAACAAACAAAUCAUCAAAGUAGUUAUAGCUGGAACGUAACGCGGAAACUUUACUGAAAAUUUUUGCAUUUUCCAAUGUAGCCGUUUGGGGAAUUUUAACACGAACGUGGCCGUUUUGGAUGUUUCGUGUUAAUUACUUACUUAGAAAAAUUUCAUCGAUAGCGAGUGAACAUUUUCGCACUACCAUCUACAUACUACCUACAGCACAUUAAAAUAUUUCCGUAUACAACAUUUUUGGCUCACUUUGCCUACAAGCGCACACGCUAGUCAC
This is a long non-coding RNA of Rhagoletis zephyria (snowberry fruit fly), 838 nucleotides long. RefSeq lists it as uncharacterized. NCBI's taxonomy places the organism in Eukaryota, Metazoa, Arthropoda, Insecta, Diptera, Tephritidae. The record is from RefSeq and is a predicted model, not a curated record.